GGAGGCCUACGGGGCGCAGCAGUCGAGAAUCAUUCACAAUGGGGGAAACCCUGAUGGUGCGACGCUGCGUGGGGGAAUGAAGGUCUUCGGAUUGUAAACCCCUGUCAUGUGGGAGCAAAUUAAAAAGAUAGUACCACAAGAGGAAGAGACGGCUAACUCUGUGCCAGCAGCCGCGGUAAUACAGAGGUCUUAAGCGUUGUUCGGAAUCACUGGGCGUAAAGCGUGCGUAGGCUGUUUCGUCAGUCGUGUGUGAAAGGCGCGGGCUCAACCCGCGGGCGGCACA
RNAcentral lists this ribosomal RNA (283 nucleotides) under uncultured bacterium. RNAcentral's name for it is "partial 16S ribosomal RNA". It matches the Rfam family "Bacterial small subunit ribosomal RNA", at positions 333 to 627 of the family's 1533-position model. The record is from RNAcentral.